This 425-nucleotide ribosomal RNA is filed under the name uncultured bacterium. Its description in RNAcentral is "partial 16S ribosomal RNA". It matches the Rfam family "Bacterial small subunit ribosomal RNA", at positions 354 to 796 of the family's 1533-position model. The record is from RNAcentral.
GUGGGGAAUAUUGCACAAUGGGCGAAAGCCUGAUGCAGCGACGCCGCGUGAGCGAUGAAGUAUUUCGGUACGUAAAGCUCUAUCAGCAGGGAAGAUAAUGACGGUACCUGACUAAGAAGCACCGGCUAAAUACGUGCCAGCAGCCGCGGUAAUACGUAUGGUGCAAGCGUUAUCCGGAUUUACUGGGUGUAAAGGGAGCGUAGGCGGCGUGGUAAGUCAGAAGUGAAAGCCCGGGGCUCAACCCCGGGACUGCUUUUGAAACUAUCAUGCUAGAGUGUCGGAGAGGUAAGUGGAAUUCCUAGUGUAGCGGUGAAAUGCGUAGAUAUUAGGAGGAACACCAGUGGCGAAGGCGGCUUACUGGACGAUAACUGACGCUGAGGCUCGAAAGCGUGGGGAGCAAACAGGAUUAGAAACCCGGGUAGUCC